Molecule: ribosomal RNA, 1519 nt
Filed under: human gut metagenome
Description: bacterial LSU rRNA
Rfam family: Bacterial large subunit ribosomal RNA
Source: RNAcentral
AGCGGGGCCCAUCCCGUAAGGCUAAAUACUCCCGAGAGACCGAUAGCGAACCAGUACCGUGAGGGAAAGGUGAAAAGAACCCCGAGCAGGGGAGUGAAAUAGACCCUGAACCCGUCUGCCUACAAGCGGUCGGAGCAUAGCAAUAUGUGACGGCGUGCCUUUUGCAUAAUGAACCUACGAGUUACCUUCCCCGGCAAGGUUAAGUACCUAAGGUACGGAGCCGAAGCGAAAGCGAGUCUGAAGAGGGCGGCCAGUCGGGGGGGGUAGACGCGAAACCGAGUGAUCUACCCUUGGCCAGGUUGAAGGUUGGGUAACACCAACUGGAGGACCGGAUGGGUAAGCGUUGAAAAGCUUUCCAAUGAGCUGAGGGUAGGGGUGAAAGGCUAAUCAAACUCGGAGAUAGCUCGUACUCCCCGAAAUGCAUUUAGGUGCAGCCUCUUUAUAGUAUAUCGUGAGGUAGAGCGACUGAUUGGAUGCGAGGGCUUCACCGCCUAUCAAGUCCAGAUAAACUCCGAAUGCGCGAUAUAUAUUUACAGGGAGUGAGGGCGCGGGUGCUAAGGUCCGUGUCCGAGAGGAGAAGAAUCCAGACCACCGGCUAAGGCCCCCAAAUGAUCGUUGAGUUGAACUAACGAGGUCGGAUCGCAGAGACAGCUAGGAUGUUGGCUUGGAAGCAGCCAUUCAUUUAAAGAGUGCGUAACAGCUCACUAGUCGAGCGAUCUGGCGUGGAUAAUAAUCGGGCAUAAACGAUCUGCCGAAGCCGUGGAUGUCGCAAGACAUGGUAGGGGAGCAUUCCAUGCGGCGUCGAAGAUGAGGGAUGACCCUUGUUGGAGCGCAUGGAAAAGCAAAUGUAGGUAUGAGUAACGAUAAGGGGGGCGAGAAACCCCCCCGCCGAAAGACCAAGGUUUCCUGAUCAACGCUAAUCGGAUCAGGGUGAGUCGGGACCUAAGGCAAAGCCGAACGGCGCCGCCGAUGGAAGAAUGGGUUAAUAUUCCCAUACUGCCUCAUGGAGUGACGUGGAGACGGAGAAGUGACAGUCCUGCCGGCUGACGGAAUAGCCGGUUGAAGGGUGUAGAUAUUGAUUCCCGUAGGCAAAUCCGCGGGGAGAGUCGAACCUGACAGUAUACCGAGUACUUGUACGAGGUAAUAUGGACGUAACCAUGCUCCCAAGAAAAUCCGCUAAACUUAUCCAUGCGGCACCCGUACCGUAAACGGACACACGUGGUCGGGUUGAGAAUACUGAGGCGCUCGAGUGACUCACGGUUAAGGAACUAGGCAAAUUGACCCUGUAACUUCGGGAUAAAGGGUCCUCGUCGUAAGGCGAGGCGCAGAGAAUAGGUCCAGGCAACUGUUUAACAAAAACACAUGGCUAUGCUAAAUGGAAACAUGACGUAUAUAGCCUGACACCUGCCCGGUGCUGGAAGGUUAAGAGGAGAUGUCAUCGCAAGAGAAGCGUUGAAUUGAAGCCCCAGUAAACGGCGGCCGUAACUAUAACGGUCCUAAGGUAGCGAAAUUCCUUGUC